Molecule: long non-coding RNA, 2015 nt
Organism: Dermochelys coriacea (leatherback sea turtle)
Lineage: Eukaryota; Metazoa; Chordata; Testudines; Dermochelyidae
Exons: 3
Source: RefSeq, a predicted model, not a curated record
GGCCUGGCCGCAAGGUGCGGACACCCAGAUUGGAGCAGGGCUGGGGAAAGGCGAGAGGAGUGAGAGCUCCAGCCUGGAAAACCUAAGGGCUGCAGGCCUGACUACAGGCCAAAUAGGUGCAGGGUUGCAGAGGAGCAGCCCAUGGGUAGGCGGAGGCAGCAGGUUCAAAAUGCCCUUGCCCGUGAUGUGUGGCGUAUACACUGCAGUCUGCCCUGAUAUAAGGGGCUAAGUGGGGACUGGCAGUAACCCAGACUGAGGCAAGGUAGGGUUUGAGGGUGAGGGUUCCCCUAGUUGGGGAGACCCAGAACCUGAGUGUGUGGGGGUACUGCCAGGGGGGCAGCACCCCAGAGAAAGGGAUACCGGGUCUUGGGAGGGACAUGGGGGGCCGGCAGUAAGGUGAAUCACUGGCCUGCAGAGAGUGCUCCGGUGGUUGGAUGAGCUAAUUCCUGAUGGCAGGAGGUGCCACAGGGACUAACACGGCUGCUACUCUGAAACCUGUCACAUAAACAAUGCGACCCACCCUGAUUAAUUGGUCUGUUCUAAAACAUGGCUGUUAGACCAGAUGAAAAGGCGAAGGCACGAGAGUAUUUGUGUGUCAUCGGUCAUACCUCACCCACAUCCCCUGAACCGAAGGGACGUGCACUUCUCUGUCUGUACCCGGCCAGUGUGGAAAACGGCCGACUGAAGGGCAACGUAUUUUUUGGACGAAUUCAGGCUUAUGUUGAACAUGCAACACCUGGCAGACAGGAGGAAUGGAGAGGCUAAUGAAUACCCUUUGGAACAAAACACCACCUCUCAUCUUACCACAUUCCUUACAUGAUUGCCAGGCUGGGGAGAUGAUCAACUCUGAAAACACUCACAUGUUCAAAGCCAAGAGAUUUAUAGUGAUCUCAUCACAGGCCCACAAAGAACUGUGCUCUUUGGUACAAUGUUGCACCUGAAAUCCGUUUGAGGAGAGAUUGGCAGAACUGCUGAGGGUGCCCUGAACCUUCAGCCUUUGUUGUUUGUCAACCCACUAGUUUUGUUGCUUGUCUCUUGUUUGAAGAACAUGAGGAAUAGUGCCACAUAAUUGAUGGAAAAUAUAAACGUUUCACCUACUGUUUAGGACAGAUGAGUGUGUAGCCACACCUUGCUCUGAACCUGUCAGGGUGGGUGAGUUCAGUGUGCAAAGGGAACAGAGCGGAUUGGAUCAAGGGGCUGAGUUUCAGUCUGGGGCACUUCGGAGUGGUCUCAGGAACCCAGUUUUCCUAAUCCUACUUGUAUGUAGUGAUGGGCAAACCUCAAAGGUUUGGAAGAUUAGUUCAGUUCAAAUAAACAGCCAACGCGUGUGUGUGUGUGUCUCAACUAUAACCAGCAUCUCCAAAGCUGGGCUGGAGUUUUCAAGAGGAUGCAGCCUCUCAUCAGAUUCUGGCUAUUUCCUACUUCUGAUCAAGCUGCAGUCUGGAAAUACAGAGACAACAUCACAAAGGAAAAAUGUUGGGGCUAAAAUGCUUCUAAUGCCAUAAAGGAUCCACGUGUAACCUGCACUUAGAGAAUGGGUCUUUGUCCUGCUUUAGAAGCUGGGCUAUGUAAGAGGUUAAUGCUGAUAAAUCCGCUAAAUGUGCUAACCAGAGGACUCAUUCCUUUUAGAUUGAAUGAUCAUGAUUUCUGGUUUUAAUGGUGAAGGUUUAUAGUUUAAGCCCCACUGUUGAUCAAUGGAGAUCAUUUUUUGGUUAUUUGGGUUUGAGGUUGGAAUGAAGUUCAGGUUGGUUGUUAAUUUAAUGAAAUAUCAAGGGUGUGGUUUUUAUUACACCACUGGUUUUCCGUGGGUCCCCGAGUUUGAGGAGAAACCAUACGGAAGGGCCCCAGGAAUUUCCAAACCCGGCUUCUCCAUGGAAAGCAUCACCUAUGAUGUGUGACUGGACUUUGGACGUGGUGGGAGAAAAAGUUUUUAUAUUCUUUCCACUCACUAAUUGCACAUUUCUAUAUAAUAUGGUGGUUGGAACAUUAAUCUCAUUAAAAUAUACAAAUAUUGU